Molecule: ribosomal RNA, 468 nt
Filed under: uncultured bacterium
Lineage: Bacteria
Description: partial 16S ribosomal RNA
Rfam family: Bacterial small subunit ribosomal RNA
Source: RNAcentral
GACGAACGCUGGCGGCGUGCUUUACACAUGCAAGUCGAACGGAAAGGCCCUGCUUUUUUGUGGUGCUCGAGUGGCGAACGGGUGAGUCACACGUGAGUAACCUGCCCUUGACUUUGGGAUAACUUCAGGAAACUUGGGCUAAUACCGGAUCGGAGCUCCUGCUGCAUGGUGGGGGUUGGAACGUUUCGGCGGUUGGGGAUGGACUCGCGGCUUAUCAGCUUGUUGGUGGGGUAGUGGCUUACCAAGGCUUUGACGGGUAGCCGGCCUGAGAGGGUGACCGGCCACAUUGGGACUGAGAUACGGCCCAGACUCCUACGGGAGGCAGCAGUGGGGAAUAUUGCACAAUGGGCGGAAGCCUGAUGCAGCAACGCCGCGUGCGGGAUGACGGCCUUCGGGUUGUAAACCGCUUUCGCCUGUGACGAAGCGUGAGUGACGGUAAUGGGUAAAGAAGCACCGGCUAACUACGUG